RNAcentral lists this transfer RNA (56 nucleotides) under Phytophthora infestans T30-4. It matches the Rfam family "tRNA", at positions 9 to 63 of the family's 71-position model. From Rfam's summary of the family: Transfer RNA (tRNA) molecules are approximately 80 nucleotides in length. Their secondary structure includes four short double-helical elements and three loops (D, anti-codon, and T loops). Further hydrogen bonds mediate the characteristic L-shaped molecular structure. tRNAs have two regions of fundamental functional importance: the anti-codon, which is responsible for specific mRNA codon recognition, and the 3' end, to which the tRNAs corresponding amino acid is attached (by aminoacyl-tRNA synthetases). tRNAs cope with the degeneracy of the genetic code in two manners: having more than one tRNA (with a specific anti-codon) for a particular amino acid; and 'wobble' base-pairing, i.e. permitting non-standard base-pairing at the 3rd anti-codon position. The record is from Rfam by way of RNAcentral. Lineage: Eukaryota; Oomycota; Peronosporomycetes; Peronosporales; Peronosporaceae.
AGCUCAGCGGUUGAGCACUCACUUCACAAGCGAUAGGUCGGUGGUUCAAACCCACC